Notothenia coriiceps (black rockcod) is the source of this 2507-nucleotide RNA transcript. It is a transcript of the gene named dual specificity protein phosphatase 13 isoform A-like, with no coding region annotated. The transcript is spliced from 5 exons. The record is from RefSeq and is a predicted model, not a curated record. Lineage: Eukaryota; Metazoa; Chordata; Actinopteri; Perciformes; Nototheniidae.
GGUCUCUCACUGAGCUGCACACUCACUGCUGCUGGGGGCACGGCGGACACACACACACUCUGCUGGAGGAGCUGUCUGUGUGAGGGGAGAAUGUCAGGGACCAGUCAGCCACAGGACCUGGAGCUCAUUAAAGAACUAGAGCUCAUCUUGGAUUCCUGCACACUGGAGCUCACACCAGUGGAUGAAGUCUGGCCCAACCUGUACAUAGGAAAUGUUGCAGUGGCACAGAAUAGAAAGACAUUAAAUAAGCUCGGCAUCACUCAUGUCCUGAACGCAGCACACUCCAAGCAGGGCAGCAUCGGUGACCAGAGUUUUUAUGGGGACUCCUGCGUUUACUUUGGCAUCCCAGCAGAGGAUUCAGACCGCUUCGACCUCAGUGAGAACUUCAAACCUGCAGCUGCCUUCAUACAUAAAGCCCUGAAGAGCAAAGAUGGAAAAGUGCUGGUGCAUUGCAUCAUGGGAAUGAGUCGAUCAGCCACAUUGGUCCUGGCUUACUUAAUGUUGCGGCAGCGUUUCAUUCUGAGAGAUGCUCUGAAACACAUCGUCCAAAAGCGACCCAUUUAUCCAAACAAGAACUUUCUGUCUUUGCUCCUCAAACUGGAUCAACAGCUGACAUUCAAACGGAGGUUGUGUCCUCUUUUAUGACACCUCUCCCUCUCUUUCUUCUCCUCCCUCAUCACAUUACACCUCUAUUCCCAUGAGAUCCACUUUAAUCUGUAUGGAAAAUAAUGUAAAUAAUACUCCUUUUUACUUUCAAAGUUACUUUUCAUGCACAGGUUUAACUUCUGGCUACAGCAGCAAUGAUCAUGUGUUGUAAAAAGUGUAUUUAUUCUCUUUGUAUUAUUUUCAUAUUCAAACAUUUAUUCAAAUGUUCCCUGCCAGAGUUGUUCUGCAUGUACACAAGCUUUGUAAAUAUAGCUUUAUGACUCAGUGUGAAUAGGAAUUAAAGACAUUUUGUGUUAUUUAAUUGAAAUAUUCUGGCUGGUUUUAAUAUGGAAAAAGUGCCUUGAAGAAUUCAUGUGCAGUUAACUUCAUGUUAAUGUCACUGUUGUAGUUUAUAUUCAUCUUAAAGAGUAAAAACACUGCUAUACCUGAACUUAUAUAUCCUUAGGUUAUGUAAACCAAAUGCCAAAAUGCAAUAAGCAUAACCUACUUUUCAUUAUUUACGAUACUGUAUGAUGUAAACACAAAUGCAGCUGAAGUAAAUACGUCACUGGGGACUGUUAUUCACAGCAUGGAUCAUAUUUCUUAAAGGAGCAGAGCAGCUGGCGUUACUCUGCAACACAGAGACACAUACAGCACCGGUAUGUGUUACAUAACAGUCUGCAGUAAUGGAAACUGAGCCAGUGAGCUAAUGUCAAGCUUCACAGGAUAGUGCCACAUUGUUGACCAUAAGAAUCAGACAUGAAUCAAAAUGCUUUAGAUGUGGUUUUUAUUUGGGAGUUGAACUGCUGAUAGAUGUGGGAUGAUGAGCCAAUGAGUGUAUGAUUACAGAGUUAUAAAAGGAAGCAGUCAUAUGUGAGUGUGAGAAAUAAGAACAAGCUAGGAAAAGAGUUUGCCCUGCCAAGAAGGUAGGUGAGUUCAUACAGGAUGACUCAGACUGAAAACAGUAUGUCUCUUAGAGAUCCUCCGUAUGAACCUCCUUCUGUCUCAGCGCUGCAGGAAUUCCUGCUGGCAAACAGACGACCGACAGGACAUGUCAAUGAAGUCUGGCCUAACCUCUACAUAGGAAACGAGACGGGUGUUUGUCCACUGUCUGAUGGGCUUGAGCCGCUCUGCCACGUUGGUGUUGGUCUUCCUGAUGAUCGCUGUAGGCCUGAGCCUGCAGGAGGCAGUGGCUGCUGUCAGGCCGCAGAGAGACGUCUGUCCCAACCAAGGCUUCCUGAUGCAGCUCUGCAGCCCCCACAUGGGCCUGGAGACAGGGAGAGGAGAAGGCGACGGCAGGCUAAAACACUGUAAAGACACAUCAACAUUAUGCACACAUUUCUGACAGAAGUGAUGCAAUUUCAGGAAGCCAGCAGCAAAUGUCAAUCAAGUCGAGUCUGUCCAUCAGAGAUGAGUGAUAUGGUAUAUCACCACCAGCAGUUUGAAAUGUAAAUAUAUUACAAUGAAUCAGGUUGCGUGAGGUGUGUCUGCAGGUCUGCGAGAUAAAGCCACACUCUGGUCCAUGGGUGUAACUCACAUACCUCUAGGUCAGCAACGUAUCAUCACAGGUCAGCAGUUCUACAACGACCUUGAGGGGGAAAUGUCACGGUGUUGAAGCUGCAGACCAUCUGGAGUUCAACCUCCAACCUGUCUGAAACCCUUUUGCACAGUUCAAAGACAGUGGUCAGUCUGCAAAUGCGGUCGACAAGCUUAAUGUAAUUCCUUUUUUACAUGCGGGUAUAACAAGAUAUUGAAAAAUUACACCCACUCUCUCUCCUUUUAACCAAAUGUUAUGUCUUGUUUCUUGUUUUGUCUUUAAGCAUUACUUUAAUUUUUCACCAACAGCAAUAACGCAUUUUCUU